CGAUACUUGGUGUGAAUUGCAGAAUUCAGUGAAUCAUCGAAUCUUUGAACGCACAUUGCGCCCAUUAGUAUUCUAGUGGGCAUGCCUGUUCGAGCGUCAUUUCAACCUUUAAGCCUUCUGUUGCUUAGCGUUGGGGGCCUACCGUAUGGCGGUAGCCCCUUAAAAUUAGUGGCGGAGUCGGUUCACACUCUAGACGUAGUAAAUAUUAUCUCGCCUAUUAGUUGGACCGGUCCCCUGCCGUAAAACCCCUAAUUUAUCAAGGUUGACCUCGGAUCAGGUAGGAAUACCCGCUGAACUUAAGCAUAUCAAUAAGCGGAGGAA
This 321-nucleotide ribosomal RNA is filed under the name Xylaria sp. BAB-3225. RNAcentral describes it as "eukaryotic LSU rRNA". The stretch from base 1 to 99 matches the Rfam family "5.8S ribosomal RNA", at positions 56 to 154 of the family's 154-position model. The record is from RNAcentral. Lineage: Eukaryota; Fungi; Ascomycota; Sordariomycetes; Xylariales; Xylariaceae.